RNAcentral lists this ribosomal RNA (167 nucleotides) under uncultured rumen bacterium. RNAcentral's name for it is "partial 16S ribosomal RNA". It matches the Rfam family "Bacterial small subunit ribosomal RNA", at positions 340 to 524 of the family's 1533-position model. The record is from RNAcentral.
UACGGGAGGCAGCAGUGGGGAAUAUUGGACAAUGGGCGCAAGCCUGAUCCAGCCAUGCCGCGUGAGUGAUGAAGGUCUUAGGAUUGUAAAGCUCUUUCACCGGGGACGAUAAUGACGGUACCCGGAGAAGAAGCCCCGGCUAACUUCGUGCCAGCAGCCGCGGUAAU